This 2024-nucleotide long non-coding RNA is filed under the name Homo sapiens (human). Its description in RNAcentral is "HSALNT0183715". The record is from RNAcentral. Lineage: Eukaryota; Metazoa; Chordata; Mammalia; Primates; Hominidae.
GUCACAGGUACCUUCCUGAUACGUAGAGCCCAUCGAAUAGAAGGUGGUGUGACUUGGGAUUCUAAAAAGGAGACUCGGGGUUAGAAGGGGUGCGUGGUGUCAAGAAUGAACAAGAAACAUGCUGGACUCAGGAAGCCGGCUGGCCGCAGUGAAAUGGAGACUCUGGAGCACAGGCCGCGGGGCUGCAAGGCGCAACCUGAAGGCUUGCUCCGCUCUGGAAAGGCCCUGCUCCUCCUGGACGGUGUCUCUUCCCUUCCCGCCUCCCCUCGGAGGCUGCCUCCCCUCGGACAGGACCAGGAGCCCAUCCACCACCCAGGGAGCAGUGCGGCUUUGUGCUUAGGCCUCCGGGGAAGUGAGCUGUUUCCUUGAUGUCCUACAAAGAGGAUUAUUCACUUGGAAAAACAGAAGCUUGUCAAGCUGCCACAAUCGCCAGGGAAGAUUCCAUCUCUCUCUGAUGGAGAUAAAUGGAACGGGAGACGUGGGGCUGAAGAGCGGGGGCUGGCUGAAGGGAAUGAGGUGAGAAACAUCUUGGGUGGAGAUGAUAUUAGUCACACAUGUUAACCCUGCCUUAGGCUGGGAAUCCAGAAUUGAGAAAUGAACUCCACCAAGAUGGAAGGAUAAGAGGAGAUCCGUUCCAAACUCCCACUGGCCCCGCGGUGGGAAAUCAACACUGUCCCACGUCCUAAUCCCACUACCUACCUUCUGCCCCGCUAGAGUUGUCCACAAUCAAAGCCAUUUCUCCUUUUAACAUGGACAGAGGGUGGUGAUGUCUGCAAUAGCUCUGUGCCCUAAAGCUGCUCAGAAGGGAAUGCAGAGAAACCAGCGUGCUCUCUUGUUUUCACAUGGGACUACAUUCCCAUAGGGCAGCUUAGUUACUUAGGUAAGAUUCCCAGGACACUGCGCGAGGCCAGCCAGGCAUGACAAGAAAGGGCAAUACCCUGCCCCAUGGAAGGACCGUUCAAGGGAGGGAUUGGGCUGUCGAGUGGCUGGUGUGGAUAUCUGCACGUCAUGAUUUAUCCAGGACUGAGGGAGGACAGCAAAGGCCCCGCGGCUACUGGAAACCCCAUCAUGUCGCUGAGCACUGGGCUCCACUUUGCUACUCAUGGAUGGAGACAGCGCUUCCUACACGUGCCGUAGGAGCUUCCUGGGCAGAACAGAACAUGAUCGUGGAAACGAGUCUUCGCCAAGGCAGCGCAGAGGGCCGAGGGGUGGGGCGCACUAGAUGGCAUUGUGGAUUUUCACAGGACUAAGCAAGCUAAUGUAUGUGGAUGUGUUUGAGAAACAAUAAAGCACUUCACAGGUAAUUAUCAUUAUAUUAGGUUAACCUUGAGAUUCCCAAUAUCAUCCUACCAAGACUCACUGAGUUCCCUAAAAGCUAAAUGCCCUUCAUUUCUCAUUUUGGUGGCCUUGUAGCAAGGAGCCCUUCUGACAUAUUAGCAAUCCAGCAAAUAUUGCCAUUCUCAGGUAUCUCUUGCUUCCUCUUCCAAUUUAAAUAAUUGUUUGCAUAGAUCUGCAUAAGUUAUACAUUAGUUGUUACUUUACAUAGGCAUUUGAGUUGAAAAUAAUCAAGCUAUUAUUAACACUCAUUCCUGGUUGUUGUUUUUCUUUCUGUAUACCAAAAUACAAAAUACUCUUUUCUUUGAGGGAAAAGUACAUAGUUCAUAAUAAGAAGUUUCAAAAAAAGAAAAGACAAAGAAAAAAAUUAAUACAGUGCAAUAUAGUCAUGCUUCAUUUCCCAUUCCACAAGCUCUUACGUUAUAAAAACUGCCUCUGCUACCAUUAGUUGAACCCUCAAUCCAAACACUCAUUUCAAUUUCAAAAAUUAGAAUAUCCUUAAUCUUGGCAGGGGAGGGGGAGAUUACAAAAAAACUUUAACAAAAGUUCCUGUUCCUUAUGAAAAUAAAGUAAGUGGCCAGCCGCAGGGGCUCACACCUGUAAUAGCAACACUUUGGGAGGCUGAGGCGGGCAGGCCAUUUGAGACCAGGAGUUUGAGACCAGCCUGGGCAAUGCGGUGAAACCCUGUC